This 305-nucleotide ribosomal RNA is filed under the name uncultured bacterium. RNAcentral's name for it is "partial 16S ribosomal RNA". It matches the Rfam family "Bacterial small subunit ribosomal RNA", at positions 505 to 809 of the family's 1533-position model. The record is from RNAcentral.
ACAGCAGUAGCCACGGUAAUACAGAGGGUGCAAGCGUUAAUCGGAAUUACUGGGCGUAAAGCGCGCGUAGGUGGUUUGUUAAGUUGGAUGUGAAAUCCCCGGGCUCAACCUGGGAACUGCAUCCAAAACUGGCAAGCUAGAGUAUGGUAGAGGGUGGUGGAAUUUCCUGUGUAGCGGUGAAAUGCGUAGAUAUAGGAAGGAACACCAGUGGCGAAGGCGACCACCUGGACUGAUACUGACACUGAGGUGCGAAAGCGUGGGGAGCAAACAGGAUUAGAUACCCCCGUAGUCCCUGUCUCUUAUAA